AUGAAUACAGCAACCUUUAUUUAUUCAAGCAACAGACUAGUUCCUGGAGAGUUACUGGCAGCACAAGGCAUCAGAUGGCAAGAGAGACACAUGACAGAGUCAGAGCUGACUGGCGGCUUGGAAAGACCCAACCUGAGUUGUUGGCUGGGAAGACCACCUCUACACCAUCCUCACUCAGGUAUGUGGUCCGAAGCAGCUCCAAGGCUGCUUGCCUUGGAGGGGAAAGAUGCUUGCCAACACACUGGAAGUUACUUUUCACAUUUCUGUGGACAAAGAAAGUCACCUACGUGGCACUACUGUACAGAAAGCAAG
This 312-nucleotide long non-coding RNA is filed under the name Mus musculus (house mouse). Its description in RNAcentral is "predicted gene 5820 (ENSMUSG00000117994.2)". Lineage: Eukaryota; Metazoa; Chordata; Mammalia; Rodentia; Muridae. The record is from RNAcentral.